CCAAAUUAAUUAAGGGAAUCAAUUAUCUUUAUUUAUAUUUUGCUUUUCAAGUUUCAUAUAAACUUUAAACUGUGAGAUUUCUCAUAUUGAAGAAAAUUAAAAUAAAAUUGAAUACCUUUUAUAAGCUAAUGGUUAUUGUAAAAGUGUUUUUCUACAGAAAUUUGAGAGCCGUCUAUCUUAAAAAAAUAUGUUAAUUCUUUAACGAUAAUUAAGUUAAACAUUUAGAUGACGACCAUUAUAAACAUUAAAGUUUAAUAUAUAUUAACAUUUUUCAUUUUAUUUUUUGUCAAGAGAGGGAUUCAUAUGUAGAAAUUGUCUAAAAGCAAAAAUUACUGCAUGAUUUCAAAGAAAUAGGUGUAGAGAUAUCUAACUCAAUAAAUUAGUAUAGUUUCAACUUAUUUAUACAUAGAUCAGUACAAAAUCAUAAGUGUGUCAUCUUAUAAUAAUUUAUCUCCUUAUAAUGGGUGAAAUUUAGUAUCUUGUAAAAGAGAUAAUUUUGUUAAAAAAUAUUUUGUAUGUAUAGAAGGUAUGAAUGAUAAGCAUAGAUGUUUAGUGUGCAUGGAACCCUAUGAAGAGCAAAAUAAGAAGAGUAAAGAAAAUGAAUUACCAAGGCAUAAGCACCAGCAGCUACAGCACCAAGCUCACCAAAUUUCUCACGAUGCUCGUGUUGCUUCUCCUCCUUCUUGUAGUCAACCUCAUCAUCACGUUGGACACCACCACCAUACCCACCACCGCUUGUCUUCUCAUAGUCAUCACCAGUUGAUCCACCAUACCCACCACCGGUGGUAUUGUCAGAGUAACCACCACCACCAGUUGAUCCACCAUAGCCACCACCAGCUGAUCCACCAUAGCCACCACCAGUUGUAGUGUCUGGGUAACUGUCACCACCACCAGCUGAUCCACCAUAGCCACCACCAGUGGUAGUGUCUGGGUAACCACCAGCGCCAGUUGAUCCACCAUAGCCACCACCUGUAGUGGUGUCAUCAUAAGACGACUUGUUGUAACCACUUCCAUAGCCAUCAG
RNAcentral lists this long non-coding RNA (1023 nucleotides) under Lupinus angustifolius (narrow-leaved blue lupine). Its description in RNAcentral is "long non-coding RNA (LANG_LNC002848)". The record is from RNAcentral. Lineage: Eukaryota; Viridiplantae; Streptophyta; Magnoliopsida; Fabales; Fabaceae.